GGAAACCAAAAUUGACAAGGACUCAAGUAUGGAAGGCUAUCGGAUUAAGAGGAAAUGAGGAAGUUAUGCACAAACUUGGACGUGCGAGGUAAAUCCUCAAUUUUGGCGACUUGGAGAAUCGGAGCGAGCACGAGUUCAUGUUAUGCCAUACCAAACGCUUCCACUAGCUUGUUCAAAUGUUUUUGAUCCAAAAUUUGUUGUAUUGGUUUUUAGUAGUUUCUUGUUGAACGAAUUGUAGAAUUGUAUCUAGUUUGUUUAUGUUUAAAACAGGGGUAUGCUCGUUUUAUGGACGGGUCAUGCCUGAUUUUUGUUAAA
Molecule: long non-coding RNA, 315 nt
Organism: Helianthus annuus (common sunflower)
Lineage: Eukaryota; Viridiplantae; Streptophyta; Magnoliopsida; Asterales; Asteraceae
Exons: 2
Source: RefSeq, a predicted model, not a curated record